UACAGAGGGUGCGAGCGUUAAUCGGAAUUACUGGGCGUAAAGCGUGCGUAGACGGUUAUUUAAGUCGGGUGUGAAAGCCCCGGGCUCAACCUGGGAAUUGCAUUCGAGACUGAAUAGCUAGGGUACGGUAGAGGGAAGUGGAAUUUCCGGUGUAGCGGUGAAAUGCGUAGAUAUCUGGAGGAAUACCGGUGGCGAAGGCGGCAUCCUGGACCGGCAUUGACGCUGAGGAGCGAAAGCCAGGGGAGCAAACGGG
RNAcentral lists this ribosomal RNA (253 nucleotides) under uncultured bacterium. RNAcentral describes it as "partial 16S ribosomal RNA". It matches the Rfam family "Bacterial small subunit ribosomal RNA", at positions 524 to 776 of the family's 1533-position model. The record is from RNAcentral.